RNAcentral lists this transfer RNA (71 nucleotides) under Bacteroidota bacterium. Its description in RNAcentral is "Bacteroidetes bacterium tRNA-Cys". It matches the Rfam family "tRNA". From Rfam's summary of the family: Transfer RNA (tRNA) molecules are approximately 80 nucleotides in length. Their secondary structure includes four short double-helical elements and three loops (D, anti-codon, and T loops). Further hydrogen bonds mediate the characteristic L-shaped molecular structure. tRNAs have two regions of fundamental functional importance: the anti-codon, which is responsible for specific mRNA codon recognition, and the 3' end, to which the tRNAs corresponding amino acid is attached (by aminoacyl-tRNA synthetases). tRNAs cope with the degeneracy of the genetic code in two manners: having more than one tRNA (with a specific anti-codon) for a particular amino acid; and 'wobble' base-pairing, i.e. permitting non-standard base-pairing at the 3rd anti-codon position. The record is from RNAcentral. RNAcentral also lists the same sequence under 2 other names. Lineage: Bacteria; Pseudomonadati; Bacteroidota.
GGUGCCGUGGCCGAGAGGUUAGGCAAGGGUCUGCAAAACCCUGUACAGCGGUUCGAAUCCGCUCGGCACCU